Molecule: small nucleolar RNA, 126 nt
Organism: Bison bison bison
Lineage: Eukaryota; Metazoa; Chordata; Mammalia; Artiodactyla; Bovidae
Source: Ensembl
AGGUAAUUUCAAAGAGGGCUGAUGGGCCCAAAUCCAGUUGCUCUUAAGGCCAUGACCAAAGAAUGAGCUCACCAUUGGAUGUAAUAGUCACUUGAUGUGCUAUGUAUUCCUGAUGGAGAUUUGCAG